RNAcentral lists this unclassified non-coding RNA (594 nucleotides) under Hevea brasiliensis (rubber tree). Lineage: Eukaryota; Viridiplantae; Streptophyta; Magnoliopsida; Malpighiales; Euphorbiaceae. The record is from RNAcentral.
CUCAUAAACACUAUAAAGAAAAAACUGAAGGUGGUUUAAAAUAAAAUUCUAUUUGUCAUGCACUUUAACCAUUUACAGAUCUUAAACAAUGAGGUUGAUCAUCUUACACUAUCCAAGGAUCCAAGUUGUACAACUCCAUGUGGAGCAACAGCAGCAACAACAAUGGUCUUAAUCCCAGCAGAAAAUUGAGCUUGCCACCCAUCACAGUGUUCAGGCGCCAAGUUGGUGAUAGCUGCAACUUUGUUUGCUGAAAGCCAUAGAUGUUUUCCAGUAAUUGCAACCUGCCCAACAAUACCUUCUCCGAGAGAAUAAACAUGAUAGGACAUCUUUGCCACAGCUACUCCAAGAUGAUUGUUGGAAUAAUGUCCAUCAUAAAGGUUGCCUGCCGUACUAUCAGGUGAUUUUUUCCCUGGAAACCCAUCGUUAUCAUAGUAAGCGUCCUCCCAAGUCAACAUCAUUCGAGCUCGAUGUGUGAGCUUCCAGAACACAGCAUACUUCCAAGGAGUAUUGCAACAAAGGCUCCUCAGUGCUUGUUGCAGUUGGCUUGCCAUAUUCUUUCCUUAGUCACCAAAAAAUUUAACACACAAAUCCCCA